This is a non-coding RNA of Ricinus communis (castor bean), 107 nucleotides long. The record is from Rfam. Lineage: Eukaryota; Viridiplantae; Streptophyta; Magnoliopsida; Malpighiales; Euphorbiaceae.
AGUCCAUGGUGUCGGCAGCAUCUAAGUAGGUCUUUGAAUCUCUCCCAGGUUUCGUACAUCGACUCAUCAUCAAACUCCAUAAAAGAAGAUGUAUGAUUUCUAAGUUU